AUUCCUCCAUUGUUUAAUAGCAGCUCUAUCUCCUUGUGAUAAUUAGGGACAAUUACCCCUUUAGGUCAGUGACUUCUCUAUGUUUCUGCUAGUUUCUUGGAGUGAGUUCAAAGUGCCCAGGCAUUAUCGAGAGGCUAAAAUCUAUUGAGGCUUUUGCUAGCACCAGCUGGAAAAGUUAACCAUUUGGAUAACCAGGAUCUCCAAAAACCUUUGCAGAGUUCAGUGUUGCAAGGACCAGAAGCAUGGGUUAAGAAAAGUGAUGGUAAACAGAUUAUCUGCCGUGUUUUCUCAUUACUUUAUAAAGCAAGUACUGAUUGGGUGAAGAAGGAGUUGUCUCCUACCCUUUGCAAUUCCUGUAAUAUGCUCACUCUUUGGGAAAAUGAUCUUGGAACCAGUGACUCCCGAUGCCAUGUGUGAAUCAUAGCACUAGGAGAUGUGUUGCAUGCCUGUGAAUUAUACCCCAAGUGUGACAGACGAUGACUAUUUGGAGGAUGCCAAAUAGCAGUUGCCGUAGCAACAAUAACCAGGGGAUGCUUCUCCGAACUUCUGCCUCCUCUCUGCCCCAUCAUUUCCCCUGUUUUGAGAGUUAGAUAACGUGGUUACUGGAAUUAGUCGAAGCUGGUUCCCACCCCCAGCCCCCACCCAGCAUAAUGAAAGAGAGAAAACUUAGAAAUGUCUGCCUUCUUCUUACUAUCAGGGGAAAUUCAGCAUAUCUCUGCAGUCAAGACUGAAAGGAGGGAGACUCAGAGGGCAAAGAGCUGUGCGCUCUCAUACUAAUAAAUGCUCGGUGGUGGGAAAAUUAAUUGUCAGAACUGCUCCUGCAAACCACUUGUGAGGAAUGAAAAAAAUCAUUGUUGAAUUUCCACACGUGGGCUAAAAGAACAGUAUGUAAAUUGGAUUGCAAGAUGCUGUGUUCUGUGAGUGGAAAUUUCUGGUCUCUUCUGGAUCUGACAUGGCAGAUUUAAUUUUACUUUCUUAAAAAAAUAGGAGUGUAAUCUAGACAGGGAGAAGGAAAAUUUCUUUUAAUUACCUAUGACUUUAUUGAUAUGUACAGCCCCUUCCCCAAAUAAAUAUUCAGAUUAAAGCAGAGAAUGAAGUUUAAGGAAAAUUCUAUUUGCUAAGAGCGGAGUGGAUUUCUUCAAAGGAAAAGAAGCUUAAGCUUCAGGGCCCCUUCUAAGGCCCUGAAUCUAAAUUUGCAUUUGUAAAUAUAUUACAAUUCUUCUUUAAAAUCCACUCUCUGAUUAUAUACACUUUGAGCUCCACAAAUUCUCGAUCCACCUCUCAGGAGAAGGCAAAAUGUAAGUGAUUUAUUUGAUUGUAUGUUUUGCUAUUGCAUCACUCUUUAUGACAUUCAAAUUUCUCACCUUGUAGUUCUAUUUUGAG
Molecule: long non-coding RNA, 1383 nt
Filed under: Equus asinus (donkey)
Lineage: Eukaryota; Metazoa; Chordata; Mammalia; Perissodactyla; Equidae
Description: lncRNA (ENSEASG00005027478.1)
Source: RNAcentral